UACGUAGGGGGCUAGCGUUAUCCAGAUUUACUGGGCGUAAAGCGUGCGCAGGCGGUUUUGUAAGACUGUCGUGAAAUCCCCGGGCUCAACCUGGGAAUGGCGAUGGUGACUGCAAGGCUAGAGUUUGGCAGAGGGGGGUAGAAUUCCACGUGUAGCAGUGAAAUGCGUAGAUAUGUGGAGGAACACCGAUGGCGAAGGCAGCCCCCUGGGUCAAAACUGACGCUCAUGCACGAAAGCGUGGGGAGCAAACAGG
RNAcentral lists this ribosomal RNA (253 nucleotides) under uncultured bacterium. RNAcentral's name for it is "partial 16S ribosomal RNA". It matches the Rfam family "Bacterial small subunit ribosomal RNA", at positions 524 to 776 of the family's 1533-position model. The record is from RNAcentral.